AAUGCAUUGAAGCAUUUGAUUUUAAUAUAAUUUUUCUCACAUAAAUUGAUUUGAAAAUAGAAAGAGAAGAAGGAUAACGUAUGAAAGUGGAACACCAGAUUGACUACAGGGUAAAAAUUUGAAUCUAAGAACUUAGUGGUCUAAAGACUGCCAAGUAGGAUAACGAGAACGAGGACUACAAUCUUGAGCUUCCAAUGAAAUGAGAGAUUUAGAUACCCCAAGAUAAGAAGCACCUGUGAAAUCCUGGACAUGGAUUCCACCAAGAUAAGGAAAUCCACACACAACCCAUUAUAAAUGCCCACCAAACCCACUUCUCUCUUCCACCACUUCAGUCACUCAACUUGUAGAAGACUAAAAUCCACACUCAUUUAAGCAAUGGCAG
Molecule: unclassified non-coding RNA, 382 nt
Filed under: Hevea brasiliensis (rubber tree)
Lineage: Eukaryota; Viridiplantae; Streptophyta; Magnoliopsida; Malpighiales; Euphorbiaceae
Source: RNAcentral